RNAcentral lists this ribosomal RNA (502 nucleotides) under Hypocopra sp. RNAcentral's name for it is "partial large subunit ribosomal RNA". It matches the Rfam family "Eukaryotic large subunit ribosomal RNA", at positions 84 to 596 of the family's 3401-position model. The record is from RNAcentral. Lineage: Eukaryota; Fungi; Ascomycota; Sordariomycetes; Xylariales; Xylariaceae.
UAACGGCGAGUGAAGCGGCAACAGCUCAAAUUUGAAAUCUGGCCCUCGGGUCCGAGUUGUAAUUUGUAGAGGAUGCUUUUGGCGCGGUGCCUUCCGAGUUCCCUGGAACGGGACGCCUUAGAGGGUGAGAGCCCCGUACGGUUGGACACCAAGCCUCUGUAAAGCUCCUUCGACGAGUCGAGUAGUUUGGGAAUGCUGCUCUAAAUGGGAGGUAAAUUUCUUCUAAAGCUAAAUAUUGGCCAGAGACCGAUAGCGCACAAGUAGAGUGAUCGAAAGAUGAAAAGCACUUUGAAAAGAGGGUUAAAUAGCACGUGAAAUUGUUGAAAGGGAAGCGUUUGCGACCAGACCUUUUCCUGGCGGAUCAUCCGGUGUUCUCACCGGUGCACUUCGCCAGGUUGAGGCCAGCAUCGGUUUCCGCAGGGGGAUAAAAGCUUGGGGAAUGUGGCUCCUCCGGGAGUGUUAUAGCCCCUCGCAUAAUGCCCUUGCGGGGACCGAGGACCGC